CGCAGGGCGGAGGCGCGUACUUGCGGCGCAGGGAGCGGCUGACGUUCUGCGUCGGGUACCCCAGGAGGAGAUGUCCUUCAACACUAGGUCACCGUUGUUCAGGCCUGAAACUGAAGGAGCAUCAGAGGGCAAUGGUGAGGCCAAGGGGCCUGGUCUUUGAGAGCUUCAUCCCAGCCUAGACCACUACAGGAUGGCUCAUGGGAGGAGGGUGUGUGUACACACCCAAGUCCGCCCCGCUGUGUCCAGUGAGGACCGGGUUAGACCAGAGGAAUUCUAAGCUUCCUUCCAGCUCUUAUCAUCUUUGAUUGUGAGUACCAAUCAGUAUCUCUCUGUGCCGGCAGCUUUACACACCUCAUCCCAUUUAAUUCUCACAUGCCCUUGGAGGAUAGCCCUUAUUUCCCUUUUCAUGUACUGUAGAAUGAAACCAAGGCACACAGAGGUCAAGCCACUUGCCUGAGCCUUGCUGCCAGUCAUGGUCCAGCCAGAAUGCAAACCCAGCUCUAUCCGAAACCAUGCUCUUUCCAAAUUAGUCAUACUGCUUUCGACUGACUCUCCCCUUUCGCCUUCUCUUCCUCCCUCUAUAGCAGCUUCUGGAACAGGCUCAGAGGAGGAGUCUCCCACAGUUGGUGCUGCUGAGGACCUAGGGAAGCCCCAGCAGGACCCAGCAUCCCCAUCUUCCCCUCUUACAAGGCCCCCUCACCUUGACUGAUGGAGCUGUGGAAGGACUC
Molecule: non-coding RNA, 728 nt
Organism: Odocoileus virginianus texanus
Lineage: Eukaryota; Metazoa; Chordata; Mammalia; Artiodactyla; Cervidae
Source: RefSeq, a predicted model, not a curated record